GGGGAUAUAGCUCAGUUCGUAGAGUGCUUGCCUCACAUGUAUAAGGCUAUGGGUUCAAUCCUUAUAGCACCA
Molecule: transfer RNA, 72 nt
Filed under: Ictidomys tridecemlineatus (thirteen-lined ground squirrel)
Lineage: Eukaryota; Metazoa; Chordata; Mammalia; Rodentia; Sciuridae
Description: Spermophilus tridecemlineatus (thirteen-lined ground squirrel) tRNA
Rfam family: tRNA
About the family: Transfer RNA (tRNA) molecules are approximately 80 nucleotides in length. Their secondary structure includes four short double-helical elements and three loops (D, anti-codon, and T loops).
Source: Rfam by way of RNAcentral